GAUGAACGCUGGCGGCGUGCCUAACACAUGCAAGUCGAACGGAAAGGCCCUGCUCUUGUGGGGUUCUCGAGUGCCGAACGCGUGAGUAUCACGCGUGUAUCCCGCCCUUGUCUUUCGGAUAACAUCACGAAACUGCGGCUAAUAUCGGAUAGGAUCUACUGCAGCAUGGUGGGGGUUGGAAAGUUUCGGCGGUUGGGGAUGGACUCGCGGCUUAUCAGCUUGUUGGUGGGGUAGUGGCUUACCAAGGCUUUGACGGAUAGCCGGCCUGGGAGGGCGGCCGGCGUCAAGACGACUGCGGGAGGGAGCAGUCGGGAAUGGGCGGCAACGGGGGGAAGUAUUACAGAGUAAGGGCGAGCGUGAUACGAAGGCGCCCGGAGCGGAAUGACGGCCUUCGGGUUAAGAACCGCUGUCGCCUGAGACGAGGCGGGAGUGACGGUAAUGAAUCAAGAAGCACCGGCUAACUACGUG
This 468-nucleotide ribosomal RNA is filed under the name uncultured bacterium. RNAcentral's name for it is "partial 16S ribosomal RNA". It matches the Rfam family "Bacterial small subunit ribosomal RNA", at positions 28 to 507 of the family's 1533-position model. The record is from RNAcentral.